This 490-nucleotide ribosomal RNA is filed under the name uncultured bacterium. RNAcentral describes it as "partial 16S ribosomal RNA". It matches the Rfam family "Bacterial small subunit ribosomal RNA", at positions 30 to 507 of the family's 1533-position model. The record is from RNAcentral.
AUUGAACGCUGGCGGCAGGCCUAACACAUGCAAGUCGAACGGUCACAUGAAGAAGCUUGCUUCUUUGCUUUCGCGUGGCGGACGUGUGUGUCAUGUCUGUGAACCUGCUUUAUGGCUGGGGUUAACUCCUGGAAACGGUGGCUAUUACCGCUUAACUUCUCAAGACCAAAAAGGGGUACCUUCGGGCCUCUUUCCAUCCGCUGUGCCCAGAUGGCAUUAGCUAGUAGGUGGGGUAACGGCUCACCUAGGCCACGAUCCCUAGCUGGUCUGAGAGGAUGACCAGCCACACUGGAACUGAGACACGGUCCAGACUCCUACGGGAGGCAGCAGUGGGGAAUAUUGCACAAUGGGCGAAAGCCUGAUGAAGCCACGCCGCGUGUAUGAAGAAGGCCUUCGGGUUGUAAAGCACUUUCAGCGGGGAGGAAGGGAGGAAAGAGAAAACCUGUGCUCAUUGACGUUACCCGAAGAAGAAGCAACGGCUAACUCCGUG